Long non-coding RNA from Musa acuminata AAA Group (dessert banana), 400 nucleotides. RefSeq lists it as uncharacterized. The transcript has 4 exons. NCBI's taxonomy places the organism in Eukaryota, Viridiplantae, Streptophyta, Magnoliopsida, Zingiberales, Musaceae. The record is from RefSeq and is a predicted model, not a curated record.
GAAGACCGCCAUGGAUUGGGGAAACGUGAUCGUUGUGUACCCGAUCGAUGUCCUCCACAACUCAGAGUUCUUCAUCCGAUUCACCUUCCCCGGAUCGAUCCUACUCCAAAUGGAAUAGUCGAUUCAAGUGCAACCUCUACUACUACAGGACCAAUUACUUCAUUCUGAUCAUGUUCCUUCCGGCCAUGGGGUUUCUUUCGAAGCCUCUUGCCGUUGUUGUUGCCUUUCUCACAGGUCUAAGCAUCCCAUUCUUAGAUGAAAGCUAGUUGCAUCCUUUGACUGACCUCCUGUAGCCUCCUUACAGUGCUUUGGGCACUCAGCAUUGGACUGCUAGGUAACUAUAAUUUAGCAUUUGUCUGUUAUUAGGCAUAAAUAUUUUGACAAGUCCCAUAUUAAUUGU